UUUAUGGUUGACCUGAUAUCUGACAAGAAAGCAACGUUGGGGGUGGAGAUGGUCAUUUGUUGCAUUGGAGCUAGCAGUGGGGGGGCAGCACUGUGUGCAUGUUCAUGUUUGAGUGUGUGAAUGUGGCGCCUAUAGACUGUAUAUACUAUGGACAACUUGGCUCCGCCUUCCACCAUUAUACGCCGAAUUGCUCCCGAGGAGGCCGACUGUGUCCAUUCCAUAUCCAGUCUACGGUGGCGCCCCUGUUGUGUGUUAACGAUCCCUGCAAGUUAUCCUACAGCGCUGAAACAAUUUAAUAGUGACACACUUGACGGCUGAACUCGAGUGCGCUCGCAGAAUUGUGGACUUGUGUGAAAGGCUGUAAUUACAAACUUCUUACACACUGAGUUAAGUGUGUUGAGGCCGAGUAACAAGAUACCAAGCAGACAACGUUAAACCAAAGGUUACAUAAAUGUUUUCAAAUUAAAAGUUUAGUUAAAGUGUUCAUAAAUGAAGUAAACAAUGGUAACACCAAUGGAUGCCGAAGUCUGGAGGCCUACCGGUGUUAAUGACAGACAGACUCUUGGUUUCAAACUGAAAAUCAGCUCACUGACCGGUGAGGAAAUCAUCAAACUUCAUAUUCAGGCUGUUAUUAAAAACACUCAGAGACAAGCAGAUGCUAUGUGACGUUAAUUGGUGGACUGGCCCUUUACACUUUGAGAUGAGUAGCCUAAUGGAGUUCUUUGAAAACAGUAACCCUUCUUUUACACAGUGUCAAUCUUCUAAUUGUUAUGUCAUCACUGUCAUCUGACUCUUAUUUAUUUAAUGCAAUAAAGUGGGAGCUUGAUUUGUGGCCAGCACAGUCACAGCCAUUGUAUUAUUAAUGAGUGGGUAACUUCAAACAGACUAAUAAAUCAAAGACAGCAGGGGAUUGUAAGAUAAUAAAAAUGGAGAGAAUUACACAACAGUGGCUCAUGCCACCAACAGAGCCUUCGAUGUGGGGGUCUUUUAAUAUUGCUGUGGUGGCAUCCUGGAGAGGGUGUUAUGGAUUCUGAUCUAUUGUACUGCUGGUUUCAAGUGCUGCUCAUCCAGCAGCAUUAUUACCUGGGUAAAUGUAGCGACACACAAACGGCCAACAAAGUCUAUCUACAGACAACAAGGUGAGGCGCUUUCUCUGUGAGCUGGUGCUCUGUGACAGUAAUUGGGAAAUGUGAUGCAUUCACAUCCAUGCAGUUCACAACGACCACAACAAAGGUUUUUAUUUUUUUUUUUAAUUAAUUUUAAGUUUCUUAAAAGGAGUUUGACAAAUCAGCCUUAAAAUACAUGCAUUUUAAAGACAUCACACAUCUAUAGCUCUCUUUGUAAAUCUGGCUUUCCAAAUAAAUAAAUAAAAAUAAACAGCCUCUCCGUGUUUGAUAACUGUGUGCAGACUGAGCUUUGCAACUUUUAAGUGGUGAAACGAUGAGAUCUACUUGUUACUCUCCUGAGGCGAGAUUCAGUGCUUUAGAAGUUACAGUCAUUGAUGCAAACGAAAGCUUCACCAAAAAUAACAUGCAGCAAACUUUCAAAGACUUAAGUUUUUCUGUGUGUUUUCAAUUGAAGUUCAGAUCUAUUUCCUGCGAAGAGCACGUGCAUUUUGAGAGACCAGAGUUUUUGAUGGCGAGGGAGAAGAGAGAAGAGAGAGGAGCACUCUGGAGCUUUGUUGGCAAAGACAGAUUCAGGACGAUAGAGGAUUUCAGUUCUUUUGUGCCCUUGAAGAUGACCAUGUGUGACUUACAGACUGCUGUCUAGAUGCUGGAAGGAGAGUUGUGAUGUCCUCCAUUGCUUUAACUGUUAUCCUCUUAAUUUAAUUUCUAAGUAUCUGUCAAUAGAAAUGUCUCUUAGAAACGGAUACUUAGCAUGUAGAAUUCACACAUGAAUAAAAUGUGAUCUAUUUCACAUGCUGCCAGUGCCUAAAUAGCGAGGGUGGAAGCAGAACCUCGUGGCUUCAAAAGGCUCAGUGACAUACUUUUAAUCAUCUCUCAAAAGGGAAAGAUGAAACAUCUAUUUGGGACACAUCUAAAUGCUCCACUUCCUUCCUUUUAAAGCCGAGUCUUUGACGGAGUAAUCUAAGACAACUGCCUUUGCUCUGCAAGAGCGAACAGGUCAGGGGCCAUGCAUCUUCUUCAUGGUCUUUUUUCCGCCAUUUUUUUCCAUCCGGCCAUUAGACCCCAGCCAGCAUAUUCCCUGCCCUGCAGAGACUAAUGUGCCUUGAUAAAUUUAGCCUAUUAUGAAUGUAAAUGAGAGGCCUGUAACAGCUCGGCGCCGCACUAUUUGGAUAGCGGCUGAGAGCGAGAUGUCCAUCUUUACCCAGAGGCCGUUUUCUGAGCCUAUCUUUUCUUAACACAGAAAAUAAGUGAGGAUGGAAGUAAGAAAUGCUUUGAGUAAAUUAGAUUGACCCUCAAGACUUGCAUGCACUGGAACGGUACUUUGAUUUGUAUCAUGUAAAUGUUCAUCAUUAGAUCUGUUUUCAUGGGGAGAGCUCCAUGUUUCCGCCGGAUUAUUAUUCAAGAUGCCGUGCUUUUUGUGGGGUUCAUUCAUUCAUCUUUCUACUUGGCUUGAAUCCAACACGUCUGUCUUUAUUGCUCCUUGGAGAAAAACAAGAUUGCACGAUAAUGUCUGCAAUAGAAAUGAAACCUGCAGUGAAUGGAGCAUAAACACAGAUUUCCCUUUUUAAAGGGUGUUUUGUUGCUACUCAAUAUUCACUAUUUAUCACACCCUGCUUCUGAAUAAGACAUACUGGUCUAAAUCAGGUAUCUCUAACUGGUAUUAUUCCUUCAGGAAAUAAACUAGCAACAAGUAAACAUGCUCUGCUCCAGUAGAGGCAUUGUUACAAACACCAUUGUUUAGCACACAAGUAUUUUUGCUAAUUCUGUGGCUGCGAAUGAAUCUGUUUGUGCGUGGGAGGGCAGAGUGGCACAGCUCUGAUUGUGUGUUUAUGCAGAUAAGUGGAACACUAGUGACCAUUCUGGCCUGAAACAGCUAACCAGAAAGAAUGGAGCUGGGUUUAUGUUUUUCUGACAAAGUUACCCUCGUCCCCCGAUUGACAAUCUGAACUUCUCAGAGAAAUACAGCAGAGUCCCCUGGUACGGCAUUUAGAGCUGAUAAAACAAAUCUUUUGACAGGUGUUGAACUCAGGAGGGAUAGAUUAGAGUUUUGGGAGAUGUCAGGAACAAAGUCUAUUUAUUUAUUUAUUUAUUGUGAGACCAUCAUCAGGAUCAUUGUACAGCCUAACCCUUCAUAAUCCCUAACCUUCAAAUAUAUUUAUAAAAAUGCGAACCUUGACCCCAAAAGCUGCUAAGUCAAUUUAAGGAUUGUUUUUUUUUUUAAAACCCAAUUUUGAAGCAUUAGGUUGGGCAUCAUGAUUGGACCCAGAAAUGAUCAUAUUUGGCCCAGAUAAAGAUUUCUCAUUGUCAUCUCUGUAUUUUGAUUGACAGUAGGCCAUUGCAGUGUUCAGUCAAAUACAAGAGCACUCGGCUUAACCUUCCUCCUGUGUAAUCUCUCACAACGCACCCAUAAUGUUGACAUGUCGGUUUGGAGCUGUGUCUUAAAUCUGCUGUGAAUUACACUCAAAACAAUUAUCAUUGGAUUUAUUAUUCAGUUUGAUUCUCAUCUCUCGGUGGCCUUGAUCGGCUUCAUUAGGAAUAGACAAAGUAAAAAAAUCAGUUUAUUUGGUUCUUUUAUGCUUUCAAAGCCAAAAAUGUGUCUGUGCUCAAACACAGAGGGAAGGUUAAAGCAGGCAGAUAAAAAAGAAAAAUAACACUCAUUUUCCACAUACAUGUUUUCCUCUUCCUUUUACCCCUUUGAAUUGGAUUUGGUUCAUUUGGCUUUGGUCAUCUGUAGUUCUGACCCGAGUGUAGACUAGGUUAGGGUUACAUUUUAUGGUCAAUGGGGUGCAAAGACAGAAUAUACAGUACAUCGACCAAUUACCUCCAGUGAUAAGGUACAACAGUUUGUUUUAGUGGGUUCAAAGGGCCAGUUUCCUCUUUAACCCAAAUCGUCUGGAUGUAUGGACACACAGCCUUCGUACUGAGAUGCAGAGCAAAACAGGUGAACUGGGAUCACUGGAGUGGUGGACUCGGUUCACUUCCAAUUAAACCUUGGAGCGUUUCUCUGCAGUGAGAACACAAUCGACCCAGCAGCUGGAACAAACAGCUGCUCUGCACGUCACAGAAGUCAUAGCAGGGCAGCCGUAAUAUAUGCAGUAUCACAGCUUUGGGGCAACUGCAGUUACAACUGAUAGUUGACCUCAUAGCACUGAUAGUCUAAUGUUACUCAAUGCCUCUAUAUAAUUCAGUAUCAGCAGAGGACUGGCGAUGGCAACAUGCUGCUUGGCAACAUCAAAUUAGCCUGGCUGGGCCAUCUUGUUGCGUGAAUCGCUUGCCGUUCCUUCCCACAACAGUCUGGACUUCGGCCAAUUGGGAGCGAGUAUUAGAAAUCAGAAAAUAACCGGGCCAGUCAGUGACUGUUUUUCCACCGUUCCCCGGGCAACAGGGAAAGGCAGUCCCUGAUUGGUCCAUGUGUAGAUGGUGACGUCUUAACACAUGCUGCAGGACUUUUCAAAGCGCCGUUCAUUCAGAACGACGUUAAUUCUGCAGUUGACUUUGCAAAGUCGGCAGAAAUCGUUUAUAUCCGCAGAAGAAGACGUAAAAGACAUUGUUUGCUCGCACACGUUGAAAUAUUACCAAACCUUUACUUGAUGCUUGAGAGCCCAGCAGGGAACACAGCUGCGCACUGUGAUGACGUCAGAUGUUUGUUUGCAGUGAUUGGUUACAGUAGUCUGUCUAUCAAGGAAAGUACUCCGCCCACUUUUUUUAGGGCUCUGUCACAUGUAGUGUUGCCACGAACAACAAUCAAGAACAAGUUAGCAGUGUCUCACAACCUCCUGACAGAAAUCAUAGUAAUUUUGAUUUCUCUCUUGGCUCUCCACAGUGUGUAAAAUUUUCACGAUUGACCAGCAACAACAUCAUGCAUAGAAAAAGGCUUUUCUUAAGUUUUGAGAAGAAAUAAGAAUGAAAAUAAAAUCUAGGCUCGGACACCUCAGGUCUCUCAUUAGGCGUGAGGACCCAACUGUGAGGACCCAAAUGAACUCUGAAUAGUAUUCUUAAAAUAUUCAACCCUUUCUUAAGCCUUUAAAGAGGCCUUCAGUUAAAAACCAAGGUCAUACAUUUAUCAAAAAGCCACAUCUAAGUCUAUCAAGUUGGGAUUAUGCCCACUGCUCUCCUUUUUUUAGUCUCCCCCGUGACUCUAAAAUGUAUCUUUUAUUAUUCAUAAUGUGAGUCAAGUACCCUGGAGACAACUCUACCAAAUGCACUGGUUUCAACGUGCUCCACAGAAGAUAAAACUGAACAAUACUCACACGCACAUACCCAUACACACAGAGCCAAUAAGUUCUUGUUCUGGGCACUCGACCAAUUCAAAUAAGCCUGACCGCUCUUUCCGUUCGCACUCGCCUCCCUCCUUCCUUCUUCUCUUUCCUGACCUAUAACCAGCACAGCAUGUCUUAACAAACUGCACUGUGGACACAGAGCCAGAAACAUAACUAUAUUUCACCUAGAAUUCAGUUACAUGCCAGUAAUACCAAUUGGACACAGCUUCCGCAUCCCAUCAGAGGGUUAAGUCCGGCCAAAUUGAAAAACAUAUUGCUUAAAACCAAGGCUUGAUGGACUGAUUUGUUGGACAGCAUGGUCCCUAAAGGGAUAAAUGAAGAAUAAAUCCCUUUAUGGUUUUUGGACCAUAGGGUCAAUCUUCUGGAUUGGAUAUGGAGUGGUUUUGCCUGUCAGAGUUUAUAUUCUUCAUAACUCCUACAACUUUGCAAACACAGCCUGAAAAAUCAGUGUUCAAUAGAGCAGACUCUGUGGUACUGAGCUGUGAGGUUACACUUCAUCACGAAAACCUCACCUCAGCCUCCCUGAUGACCUUUAGGAAGAGCUUUUUUGGCUAUUUAAGUUAUGUGAAAUUGUA
This is a non-coding RNA of Xyrichtys novacula (pearly razorfish), 5982 nucleotides long. Lineage: Eukaryota; Metazoa; Chordata; Actinopteri; Labriformes; Labridae. The record is from the annotation of a GenBank genome assembly.